RNAcentral lists this ribosomal RNA (237 nucleotides) under uncultured bacterium. RNAcentral's name for it is "partial 16S ribosomal RNA". It matches the Rfam family "Bacterial small subunit ribosomal RNA", at positions 118 to 347 of the family's 1533-position model. The record is from RNAcentral.
UGAGGAACAUGACCUUCGGCGGGGGAUAGCCGGCCCAACGGCCGGGUAAUACCGCGUACGACCACAUGGGGACAUCCCUGAGUGGUGAAAGCAGCAAUGCGCCGAUGGAGUGCCUCGCGGCCUAUCAGCUAGUUGGUGAGGUAACGGCUCACCAAGGCAACGACGGGUAGCUGGUCUGAGAGGAUGGCCAGCCACAUUGGGACUGAGACACGGCCCAGACCUUCGUAACCGGGGAGG